RNAcentral lists this non-coding RNA (30 nucleotides) under Homo sapiens (human). Lineage: Eukaryota; Metazoa; Chordata; Mammalia; Primates; Hominidae. The record is from RNAcentral.
UGGGCCUGUUUCCACAACCUCAACACUGAC